AGAAAGAUUGCGUGCUGGAAAAUAUGGCAUAAAGGUUCGUUGCGUUUGUAAAUCGUUUUGAUUCAGUAUCAACUGUGCUACACAUAACUGCCCGCGGCCGCCUUAGCGGCGACUCAUUUCCUGGGACUUCAAUAACAAUAAGCACUAACAAUCCUGAGUAGAGAAUCAAACCAAGAUUUCAUCAGUUAAAUUUCAUACAGUUAUGUCCAAUCGCAUGAACGGAGCCUAAGCUGUCUACCUGAAGGUGGAUGUGAACCAUUAACAAGCAAACAAGAACAGCAAAGAGAGGACAAAGCAGAGGACUUCUGAACCAAAUACAAAUCAUUUGUCGGCUAAGGGAUUUGGGGAAACGACCGACAACUGCUGUGCAUCAUUAAAGACGGCCCAACACGUACGCAAUCACACGUCCGCCCUGUAGGGAGUGAGCUAUUGCAAAUACUCUGCACAUAUACAUAUACUAUUGCUGACUGACAGUUCAC
Molecule: long non-coding RNA, 479 nt
Organism: Anastrepha ludens (Mexican fruit fly)
Lineage: Eukaryota; Metazoa; Arthropoda; Insecta; Diptera; Tephritidae
Exons: 3
Source: RefSeq, a predicted model, not a curated record